Molecule: long non-coding RNA, 244 nt
Filed under: Lathyrus oleraceus (garden pea)
Lineage: Eukaryota; Viridiplantae; Streptophyta; Magnoliopsida; Fabales; Fabaceae
Description: Pisum sativum (pea) long non-coding RNA (PSAT_LNC031447)
Source: RNAcentral
CCAAAACAUCCUAGGUACUCCUAGGGAGCCCUUUUCAUACUUGUUGUAAGGUUGUUGUUUUUUUUUGUGAAAAUUUAUUGUGCAAACAUGAUUGAAGAGAUGAGAAGAGAAUAUACAAGUUUAUUUACAUUUUGUGUUUGGUUGGAUAAACCCAUUGCCUACGUACCAUCUUAAAAAAGAUUAGGAUCAAAACCUCGUAGUUCGGGGGUAAAAAUCUCAAAAAAUAAGUGGGUGAAUUGAUUGA